AUGGCUCAGGAGGACGCGGUGCAGGGGCUUGUGGCUGCAGCCCUGAGCCGUGCUGAGGACGCGAGCCCGGGCCCCAGCCAGCAGCCAGCACAGCCAGGCGGGGACGAAGCUGCAGAGGAGCUUGAUGCGGCCGUGCCACAGGGUCUGGUGGCACACGCCAUCAGUCCACUGCCACCGGCAAGGACAGCCCACGAGCGGACCAUCGAGCAUGCCAAAAGCGCUACCCCUGCAGCUCAGCAAGGACCAGGUCACCACGCUCGCAGGGGCAAGAGGUCUGCCAAAGCCGCCAGCGAGCCAGCUUCCCCUGUCGUCGGCAGUGGGCCAGGGCACAUGGGACGGGCCCCAGCAGAGCGGGAGGUGGCAGCAGGGCCGAGAGUCGUGCCAGUGCUGUGGGACGAGCAGCGGAGCUCCAGUGAGGAUGAAGAAGGGGAGGGCGAUGCUGAAAGAAUCAUUUUAGAACGGAGACACCUGGAGAGAGAGCCCUCCAUCCGCACCAUCUGGGUCAGAGACAGUUUGCAGAACCUGCCCAUGUUGCCCGGCAGCAGGGUCAGAGGCCCUCGCAGAGAUGCCGCCGGCGACUCGCAGCUCCCACCUCUCCCCCUGGCAGCACCCGCCAAAGCCGAGGCUGCAGGUCUGCCCUUGGCUGGAGCCCCUCGGGAGCAGGGCAGCAGGGUGCCYCUCGCCCCAGUAGUGCCCGAAGAGGAAAGUCCAGUGGCUUUGCCCUUGGCUGGAGCCUCUUGGGAUGAGGGGGUGCCUCGUCUCCCAGAAGACCCUGAAGAAGAAGAGCCAGCGGCUUUGYCCAUGGUCGGAGGCCCCUGGGAUGAGGUUGCGUCUGAGCAAAACGAUGAAGGAAAUCCAUCCUCAUCCUUCAGCACCACGUCAGAGGCUGACACCCCAGUUUGCAGCCAUUCUGGGGAUGAUGGGCCUGGGCCUUUCCCAGCGAGCAGCGCAGAGGCCGUGAGCACGGGGGCUGGCUGUGCCGAGCCCCGACCCCUCGGGAAAGCCCUGGGUGGCGGGAGGCAGGCAGGUGCUUGCCCUGUGCCCGCGCAGCCCCUCGCCCAUGCCUCUCCUCCCCACACAGGCAUCGCCGCUUGCCCGCACCCCCCGGCUCGCUGCCGAUGGCCCUUGUUGCACGGCACAGCGCUCUGGGCUCUGUGCAGAGCUUUCUCCUGCAGCUGUGUCACAGAGCAGCGAGAGGGACGGCGUAAGGACACAAGGGCCCCAGGAUCAUGSAGGUGCCUUUCGUAGUGGAGCCGGGGCCUCUGCAUGCGUUUUGGUGCGUGCCGGGGACCUUUGAGCGCCUUGCAAGGCAGCCAAGGGUAGGUUGUGUGUGUGUUGGUGCGGGCAGUGGGCUUCGGCGGGCUUUUAGUGCAGGCCAGGCUGGUCUGUGUAGCUUUUAGUGUGUGCCCAGGGCCUCGGAAGACCCUUUUGGGGCUGGUUUGGGGCCUCUGCCUGCCCUUUGGGGUGGGAAAGGAUAGUUUGUUUGCCGUUUGUGGCAGGUCAGGGUCCUGCAUGUGCAUUUUCCUGCUGCCCUGGGGCCUCCAAAGUCCUUUCCGUCCACCCUUGGGGUGCGCAGGUGCCUUCCGGUGCGCCCCGUUUGCAUCCGCUUGCCUUUUCCAAUGAGGCGGGGCCCGAGUGACCCCUCUGGCUCCCUCAGUGCUUCCCAAUUUUUCCGGUAAACCAGAGGGUUAAUGGGGGCUGGUGGUUUCAGGGCUUUGUUUUUGCAGGCAGGAGAGGAAGAAGUCUCAGGCAUUUCCCAUGUGAGGCCUCUCCCCUGCCUUUCAGGCCAGCAGCAGCAGGAGCUCAGACAGCAGCGCCGUGAUGUUGGGGGCGGCAGGCGGUUCCGGACAUCUCGCCUGGCUCCAGCCCUCUCUGCCGCGACCCCCCCGGAGCGGAGCCCUCGGUCCUGCCCUGUCCUUCGCAGCCGGGCCCGGGGAGCUGCUCAGCACCAGCUGGGGCAGCCGGGAGGAUCCUGCUUUCCCUGCAGCGCCGGCGCUGGAGGGCAGCGAAACCGGUGAGCGAAGGCGCAGCCAGGCUGCCCAGAGCUGCUGCCUCGGG
Apteryx haastii (Great spotted kiwi) is the source of this 2058-nucleotide long non-coding RNA. NCBI's taxonomy places the organism in Eukaryota, Metazoa, Chordata, Aves, Apterygiformes, Apterygidae. The record is from Ensembl.